CAAAAAAUAGUUUAAUUAAAAUAUUAAUUUUGGAGAUUAAUGAUAGAAAUUUAAAUUCUUUUUUUGA
This 67-nucleotide transfer RNA is filed under the name Gilpinia tabulaeformis. Its description in RNAcentral is "tRNA-Pro". The record is from RNAcentral. Lineage: Eukaryota; Metazoa; Arthropoda; Insecta; Hymenoptera; Diprionidae.